GCUCCAAUAGCGUAUAUUAAAGUUGUUGUGGUUAAAAAGCUCGUAGUUGAACCUUGGGCCUGGCUGGCCGGUCCGCCCUCCCCGGGGUGUACUGGUCCGGCCGGGCCUUUUCCCUCUGUGGACCCUCAUGCCCUUCACUGGGUGUGUCGGGGAAACAGGACUUUUACUUUGAAAAAAUUAGAGUGUUCAAAGCAGGCCUAUGCUCGAAUACGUUAGCAUGGAAUAAUAGAAUAGGACGUGUGGUCCUAUUUUGUUGGUUUCUAGGCCGCCGUAAUGAUUAAUAGGGACAGUCGGGGGCAUCAGUAUUCAAUUGUCAGAGGUGAAAUUCUUGGAUUUAUUGAAGACUAACUACUGCGAAAGCAUUUGCCAAGGAUGUUUUCAUUAAUCAGGAACGAAAGUUAGGGGAUCGAAGA
This 413-nucleotide ribosomal RNA is filed under the name Phialocephala compacta. RNAcentral describes it as "SSU rRNA". It matches the Rfam family "Eukaryotic small subunit ribosomal RNA", at positions 588 to 1004 of the family's 1831-position model. Lineage: Eukaryota; Fungi; Ascomycota; Leotiomycetes; Helotiales; Mollisiaceae. The record is from RNAcentral.